CGCUGCAGGAGGGUCCCCGCGGUAGGCCUUCAGUAAGCCGACAUGGAAGACGUCGUGGAGGCGAGAACCAACUGACAGCUCCAAGCGGUAUGCAAGUGUGCCGACACGCUCCAGCACACGAAAGGGACCGGCGUAGCGAGGUCCCAAUUUGCGCUUGGAGCGCGGGUCCAGAGACUGCGUGGUCCUGUGGAGGAGGCGCAGCCACACCCAAUCGCCCACCGCGAACUCCGUCUCACGAUGAUGAGCAUCGUAGUACUUCCGAGCCAGCUGCUGUGCUUGGAGAAGACGUUGGCGUGCCUCAGCCGGAAUGUCGUCGCGGGUGCGGAGUAAGUCGCCAGCCG
This 341-nucleotide long non-coding RNA is filed under the name Hordeum vulgare. RNAcentral's name for it is "long non-coding RNA (HVUL_LNC017939)". The record is from RNAcentral. Lineage: Eukaryota; Viridiplantae; Streptophyta; Magnoliopsida; Poales; Poaceae.